This is a non-coding RNA of Oryctes borbonicus, 46 nucleotides long. Lineage: Eukaryota; Metazoa; Arthropoda; Insecta; Coleoptera; Scarabaeidae. The record is from Rfam.
GAAAUGGCCCUUUUCAGGGCCACAAAACCCUAUCACGACGGAAAAG